GGCGGGAGAGGGCAGGCCAUCGUCAUCUUCUCAACCUUGAUUUAUGACAGACUUCUGAAAGUGGAGUUGCUCACGGAGUUUUCAUAGUGACCCAGAAGACAGGUUGGAACAAGGACUGGUGCAGGUAGGAUUGAUGGGCCGCGCUUGGUGACCCGGUGGGAGACAGAGGCCUGGGGAAGAAUGUGGAAUUCCUGUGGGUCCAUCUGAAGAUCCAAGUCAUUCGUGGCCUGGGUUUUAAGCAGUUCACAGUUUCCUGAAGAAGAUAGGAAGAGGCCAGUCCCCACGUCUCAGAAGGAAAACCCCCCAUUGAUCUUGAGUGGAAGGUCCCGGAAGACUUCAGGAGAAGAAAUAUGCGCUAUGUCUUACUGGACAGUAGGAAUCACCUAGGCAAGGACCGCGGACAAGGGCAUUCCAAUCAGCCUCGAAGAAGGAAGGAGUCUUGUCAGGAGGCUGUUGAAGUACCGAGGCCCAGGUGCCAUUCGCAUGUGGACCUCUCAGAUGCCACUAAGGUCUCUUUCAGCUUCAAAGCCAGACAUUCUCGUGACACUGUGCCCAGCCCUAUGAGAGCCUUGGCUCAGCUCAAAGCCGGUUGCCUCCAGCUGUCCAGGUUUGGAAAAGCCUGGAAGGCCUCUUAUCAAGGACAGCUCUAUUCUUGCCGAUUCUUGAGAAGGUACAGUCCAGGGGAUCCUAUGGUGGUGUCUCCUUUCGGGACUGUCUGGCUGGACCCUCACGACUGCUUUGCCACGCGAGGAGGAGCCUAGUCCUGCCUUGCCUCGUUAUCUGGGCACCAUCCGGUUGGUGCUACACAGAUCUGGUGAUGUCACUCUUCAGGUGUUGCUUAUUUACACAACCUCUACUGUUUGAGGCGGAGCCCUGGUGACCGCCGCUGGGGCUUGGAGUAAUUACAGCAUUCUGUGGAGAGGUGGAGCCCUCAUCGCAUUCUAGCCAUCUUCCCCAGAAUUGCCUUUGAUCCGGUUCUUUCCUGGGAAAGUAGCCAUUAGAAGAUGUCUAUCUUUGGUUUCAUGGACACGGGAGAGAGAAAUAAGAAUGACAUUGGCAAGGAGCACUUUCAUGUUCUUAGAACUGGCUUCCUCCCAGUCUGUGCCCGGAGUUCUCAGACCCGGAAGGCCUCAGCCUCUGACCCGUGUUCUCAGGGAACCCCCCUGGAGGCCCGGGGCUGAGAUCCUAUGCCAGGAAGGAGGGAGCCAGGGUGAGGUCCCUUCCCCAGGGUGCAUGCUCUCUAGGUGAUCUUCUUCCCCAAGUCUUUCCAGGACUCCUGGGGGACCCCUCUGAAGUAUCCAUGUUACAAAACAAAUGAAAGCACAUUGAUGAGAAUCCAGGAAUCAGUGAAAGUGAAAAUACUUGUCAUCCAUAACCUACAACCCUCCAAUAAUGAGAACACCCACAAAUUUCCUUGUUGCUAUUAUUGACAGAAGUUCUGGCUAAAGAUAAUUGCUAUAUGCUGUAUGUCCAGUUGAGGUCUUACUUUUUUCUCUUUAGAAAAUUUUUAACAACCAUGAAAUAUUCUAUUAAAUAACAGGUCCAAGUUUAUGUAAUCAAACCAUGAUAUUUAAAUUGUUUCUAAGUUACUUGAU
Marmota monax (woodchuck) is the source of this 1595-nucleotide long non-coding RNA. RefSeq lists it as uncharacterized. The record is from RefSeq and is a predicted model, not a curated record. NCBI's taxonomy places the organism in Eukaryota, Metazoa, Chordata, Mammalia, Rodentia, Sciuridae. The transcript has 4 exons.